UCUGAUUGCCAUACCCUUUCAGGCUGUGACCUUGUCAUGUCUCAAAAGCUAAGAAGGUCUGGCCUGGCUAGCACUUGGGUGGGAGUCCUCCAGGCAAACCCCAGAAUGCUGAUAAAA
RNAcentral lists this ribosomal RNA (117 nucleotides) under Chelonoidis abingdonii (Abingdon island giant tortoise). Lineage: Eukaryota; Metazoa; Chordata; Testudines; Testudinidae. The record is from RNAcentral.